GACGAACGCUGGCGGCGUGCUUAACACAUGCAAGUCGAACGAAAAGAGGGAAAGAGCUUGCUCUUUCCGGAAUUGAGUGGCAAACGGGUGAGUAACACGUAAACAACCUGCCUUCAGGAUGGGGACAACAGACGGAAACGACUGCUAAUACCGAAUAAGUUCCAAGGGCCGCAUGGCCCAUGGAAGAAAAGGUGGCCUCUACCUGUAAGCUAUCGCCUGAAGAGGGGUUUGCGUCUGAUUAGCUGGUUGGAGGGGUAACGGCCCACCAAGGCGACGAUCAGUAGCCGGUCUGAGAGGAUGAACGGCCACACUGGAAUUGAGACACGGUCCAGACUCCUACGGGAGGCAGCAGUGGGGAAUCUUCCGCAAUGGGCGAAAGCCUGACGGAGCAACGCCGCGUGAGUGAUGACGGACUUCGGGUUGUAAAACUCUGUGAUCCGGGACGAAAAGGCAGAGUGCGAAGAACAAACUGCAUUGACGGUACCGGAAAAGCAAGCCACGGCUAACUACGUG
RNAcentral lists this ribosomal RNA (513 nucleotides) under uncultured bacterium. Its description in RNAcentral is "partial 16S ribosomal RNA". It matches the Rfam family "Bacterial small subunit ribosomal RNA", at positions 28 to 507 of the family's 1533-position model. The record is from RNAcentral.